CAGGGUCUCCAGUGCAGUUCCACCAAGAUUAAAUGAGAAGGUGCCCUCUGCUUGGGUUAAGCUGUGGCCAUGGAUUUGCAUCACAGGUUGCAGCAGAGGGUUUGGAUGCUCUUCGCCUGUGCCUUCAAGAAGAACCCCGGGCUUCGUUUAUGCUCACUGCUAGGUUCUAGUAUGACACCCCAAUUUUCCACUGAACUCUUCCUGCUCACGCUGAGAAGCUUGGAUAUGAUUUGGCCUCUUGUUUUUAUAAUAAGCUGUUGUUGAGGAAGCAGCUUUGACAAUAGAAGUAACCAACUAGCAGGUCCAUGUCCACUGUUGAAAUCAGCUGGAGACUCAUCGCUGCUGACAACAGUGCAUGUCCAUCAGCUGACGUGGCAGCAGUGUGACCAGCACGGGUAGAGCAAGACCGCUUCACAGCUGGAAGCCACCGUAAGAAGCCCCUGGCUUCUAGGUGGUCUUAACUAUCUACUAAUCACAAAUGGAAUUCCAGGGAAGAUUCUAUAAAAGUCCUCACCUUGAAAUGCUUUAUCAUCCUAAGAAGUUUGGACUUCAUCCUGAAAGCAAGUAAAUGAUGAAUGAGACAGUUCUAGUUGCAAUAUGAAGAAUGGAGUGAACAGAAUAAUGCUGGAGACAUUGACACAAAUUAGGCCCAUAGGCGUACUGCCUCCUGGACUGGGUCAGACAGUCACAGAACACAGGCUUCAAACUGCCUUUCACACCAUUCUUGUUGGAAAUAGAACCACUGGAGGCUCAUCGUGUUACCUUCGGCAAAAAUGGAAGCCAAUCAAGACAUUGAGAAUGCCAGUGGUCAGCCAUUCAUUAACAAGGCUUUGUAAAGGAAGUCUCCCGAACAGUGUGCCUCACUUGCCUCAACAGUAGUUGAACCUGCCUCAACGGCUCCUUAAUCAAUACAGCCCCUCCAAAUGGAUGUGGACUGAGAUGUACAUUACCUUUCGAGUUAACUGAGUGCUUACUAUGUAUGACUCACUGUAAAAAAGAAGGGAGAGAGAAUGGCAGGACAAAUAAGGUAUGGGACCAACCUUUAGGGAAGCUACAGUUAGUUUUAGGAUGCAUAUUUCUUUCUUCUGCUUGUAAUUAAAAUUUUCUCUAAUCCAAGAAACAAAUGAAUGGGAAAGCAUAUUCUGUAAAUAUUUUAAGCUUCAUUAAUGAGAAACAAAAUAGACCAAAGCACAACAACAGCAGAACAAUCUGGGAAAUUCAAGACAUUUUAAUCCUUUAUUCUUUUAUUGUAUUAUUUUAUAGUGCUGAAAUAAAGUCUAUUUUAUUUUUUCUUUAAAUACUUGGUAAACUCUAGAGACAAUGCUUUGAGUUAAUUUGAAUUCAAUUCCACUUUUUCUUCUAAGUGUAAGUUGUCUGCUGGAAAGCACAUAUUGUUUAUACAAUUCUCAGGGUGUUGGGUGGUGAGUUACACCUGUUAUCUCUACAGGCAUCUACCUUCUGUGUCCUCAAGAUCACUAUUCUGAGUGAGAUCCCAGUGAGGAGAAGAGGGAGAUUUAGAUAAAACUGGGGGGUUUCGGCUCACAGGUCCAAGACUGGACAGAGAGCAUCAAAACCUCUGGCAAAGAAUCUUGAAAAUCUGGCUGAGCAAUUUUUAAAAGUAUUUAUCUGUUGACUCCCAUAGCUUGAAUCACUAUACAGUUUUCCUAAAGGUUUGUAUCUGAGUUGAGAAUGAGUCAUUACUUUUCCAGUGUUAAGACACUGAUGUCACCAGAGACACUGGACAUCUCCGGCCGUGUCGUGUCUGUGACCUAUUUCAAUAAGGAUGAGCCAACAACAGCAUCUUUGUCGUGAGUAGUGUCCAUGUGAUUGAAAAUGUGCCAACUCUUUUUAAAACAUCAUCAACAGACUUCUUAAUUAAGCUGCCAAUACCACUGUCAAUACCACUGUGUGCUGUUUGAGGACUGAAUAGUGUUGCUUGUGCCUUGUUAAAUAAACAGUGCUUCCCUAUA
Molecule: non-coding RNA, 1970 nt
Organism: Peromyscus maniculatus bairdii (prairie deer mouse)
Lineage: Eukaryota; Metazoa; Chordata; Mammalia; Rodentia; Cricetidae
Source: RefSeq, a predicted model, not a curated record